This 230-nucleotide ribosomal RNA is filed under the name uncultured bacterium. RNAcentral describes it as "partial 16S ribosomal RNA". It matches the Rfam family "Bacterial small subunit ribosomal RNA", at positions 524 to 751 of the family's 1533-position model. The record is from RNAcentral.
UACGUAGGGUGCAAGCGUUGUCCGGAAUUAUUGGGCGUAAAGAGCUCGUAGGCGGUCUGUCGCGUCUGCUGUGAAAACUCAGGGCUUAACCCUGAGCUUGCAGUGGGUACGGGCAGACUAGAGUGCGGUAGGGGAGACUGGAAUUCCUGGUGUAGCGGUGAAAUGCGCAGAGUAUCAGGAGGAACACCGGUGGGCGAAGGCGGGUGUCUGGGCCGGCACUGACGCUGGAG